Molecule: ribosomal RNA, 253 nt
Filed under: uncultured bacterium
Lineage: Bacteria
Description: partial 16S ribosomal RNA
Rfam family: Bacterial small subunit ribosomal RNA
Source: RNAcentral
UACGUAGGGUGCAAGCGUUAUCCGGAAUCACUGGGCGUAAAGCGUGCGUAGGCGGGGUUUUAAGUGAGGUGUUAAAUCGUGUGGCUCAACCAUAUCGAUGCAUCUCAUACUGGAAUCCUAGAGGACGGCAGAGGCAAGUGGAACUAGCAGUGUAGCAGUGAAAUGCGUAGAUAUUGCUAAGAACACCAAUGGCGAAGGCAGCUUGCUGGGCCGCCCCUGACGCUGAGGUACGAAAGCGUGGGGAGCGAACAGG